Molecule: ribosomal RNA, 1555 nt
Filed under: metagenome
Description: bacterial LSU rRNA
Rfam family: Bacterial large subunit ribosomal RNA
Source: RNAcentral
UUAAUCGGGGCAGGGCAGGGUGAGUCGACCCAAGGCGAGGCCGAAAGGCGUAGUCGAUGGAAACAGGUUAAUAUUCCUGUACUUGGUGUUACUGCGAAGGGGACGGAGAAGGCUAUGUUGGCCGGGCGACGGUUGUCCCGGUUUAAGCGUGUAGGCUGGUUUUCCAGGCAAAUCCGGAAAAUCAAGGCUGAGGCGUGAUGACGAGGCACUACGGUGCUGAAGCAACAAAUGCCCUGCUUCCAGGAAAAGCCUCUAAGCAUCAGGUAACAUCAAAUCGUACCCAAACCGACACAGGUGGUCAGGUAGAGAAUACCAAGGCGCUUGAGAGAACUCGGGUGAAGGAAUUAGGCAAAAUGGUGCCGUAACUUCGGGAGAAGGCACGCUGAUAUGUAGGUGAAGCGACUUGCUCGUGGAGCUGAAAUCAGUCGAAGAUACCAGCUGGCUGCAACUGUUUAUUAAAACACAGCACUGUGCAAACACGAAAGUGGACGUAUACGGUGUGACGCCUGCCCGGUGCCGGAAGGUUAAUUGAUGGGGUUAGCGCAAGCGAAGCUCUUGAUCGAAGCCCCGGUAAACGGCGGCCGUAACGAUAACGGUCCUAAGGUAGCGAAAUUCCUUGUCGGGUAAGUUCCGACCUGCACGAAUGGCGUAAUGAUGGCCAGGCUGUCUCCACCCGAGACUCAGUGAAAUUGAACUCGCUGUGAAGAUGCAGUGUACCCGCGGCAAGACGGAAAGACCCCGUGAACCUUUACUAUAGCUUGACACUGAACAUUGAGCCUUGAUGUGUAGGAUAGGUGGAGGCUUUGAAGUGUGGACGCCAGUCUGCAUGGAGCCGACCUUGAAAUACCACCCUUCAAUGUUUGAUGUUCUAACGUUGACCCGUAAUCCGGGUUGCGGACAGUGUCUGGUGGGUAGUUUGACUGGGGCGGUCUCCCCUAAAGAGUAACGGAGGAGCACGAAGGUUGGCUAAUCCUGGUCGGACAUCAGGAGGUUAGUGCAAUGGCAUAGCCAGCUUGACUGCGAGCGUGACGGCGCGAGCAGGUGCGAAAGCAGGUCAUAGUGAUCCGGUGGUUCUGAAUGGAAGGGCCAUCGCUCAACGGAUAAAAGGUACUCCGGGGAUAACAGGCUGAUACCGCCCAAGAGUUCAUAUCGACGGCGGUGUUUGGCACUCGAUGUCGGCUCAUCACAUCCUGGGGCUGAAGUAGGUCCCAAGGGUGUGGCUGUUCGCCAUUUAAAGUGGUACGCGAGCUGGGUUUAGAACGUCGUGAGACAGUUCGGUCCCCUGCCGUGGGCGCUGGAGAACUGAGGGGCUGCUCCUAGUACGAGAGGACCGGAGUGGACGCAUCACUGGUGUUCGGGUUGUCAUGCCAAUGGCACUGCCCGGUAGCUAAUGCGGAAGAGAUAAGUGCUGAAAGCAUCUAAGCACGAAACUUGCCCCGAGAUGAGUUCUCCUGACUCCUUGAGAGUCCUGAAGGAACGUUGAAGACGACGACGUUGAUAGGCCGGGUGUAAGCGCAGCGAUGCGUUGAGCUAACCGGUACUAAUGAACCGUGAG